RNAcentral lists this ribosomal RNA (469 nucleotides) under uncultured bacterium. RNAcentral's name for it is "bacterial SSU rRNA". It matches the Rfam family "Bacterial small subunit ribosomal RNA", at positions 8 to 523 of the family's 1533-position model. The record is from RNAcentral.
AGAGUUUGAUCCUGGCUCAGAACGAACGCUGGCGGCAGGCCUAACACAUGCAAGUCGAGCGCUACCUUCGGGUGGAGCGGCGGACGGGUUAGUAACGCGUGGGAAUAUACCCAGUUCUAAGGAAUAGCCACUGGAAACGGUGAGUAAUACCUUAUACGCCCUUCGGGGGAAAGAUUUAUCGGAAUUGGAUUAGCCCGCGUUAGAUUAGAUAGUUGGUGGGGUAAUGGCCUACCAAGUCUACGAUCUAUAGCUGGUUUGAGAGGAUGAUCAGCAACACUGGGACUGAGACACGGCCCAGACUCCUACGGGAGGCAGCAGUAGGGAAUCUUAGACAAUGGGGGCAACCCUGAUCUAGCCAUGCCGCGUGUGUGAUGAAGGCCCUAGGGUCGUAAAGCACUUUCGCCAGAGAUGAUAAUGUCAGUAUCUGGUAAAGAAACCCCGGCUAACUCCGUGCCAGCAGCCGCGGUAA